This 1438-nucleotide ribosomal RNA is filed under the name metagenome. RNAcentral's name for it is "bacterial LSU rRNA". It matches the Rfam family "Bacterial large subunit ribosomal RNA", at positions 1462 to 2925 of the family's 2925-position model. The record is from RNAcentral.
AACUGUGGGGACGCAGAAGGAGAGCACGAGCCGGAAAUGGAAAAGCCGGUACAAGCGUAUAGCAGUCAUGCAGGCAAAACCGCAUGAAAAAUGUAAAGCGUUAUGUGGAUCGAACAUUAGUAGAGAAGCGUGUGAGCCAGCUGCCAAGAAAAGCCGCUAUUGUUUCAUAAGUACCCGUACCGUAAACCGACACAGGUGGAUGAGGAGAGAAUCCUAAGGCCGGCGGGAGAAGUGUUGUUAAGGAACUCGGCAAAAUGACUCCGUAACUUCGGGAGAAGGAGUGCCACAGAGAUGUGGCCGCAGAGAAAUGGCCCAAGCAACUGUUUAGCAAAAACACAGGUCUAUGCAAAACCGAAAGGUGAGGUAUAUGGGCUGACGCCUGCCCGGUGCUGGAAGGUUAAGAGGAGAGGUUAGAGCAAUCGAAGCUUUGAAUUUAAGCCCCAGUAAACGGCGGCCGUAACUAUAACGGUCCUAAGGUAGCGAAAUUCCUUGUCGGGUGAGUUCCGACCCGCACGAAAGGCGUAAUGAUUUGGGCACUGUCUCAACAACACACCCGGUGAAAUUGAAAUACCAGUGAAGAUGCUGGUUACCUGCGCCAGGACGGAAAGACCCCAUGGAGCUUUACUCCAGUUUGAUACUGGGAUUCGGUACUGUCUGUACAGGAUAGGUGGGAGGCUAGGAAAUGGUGACGCCAGUUGCCAUGGAGCCAACCUUGGGAUACCACCCUUACAGUACUGGGUUUCUAACCUGCAGCCGUAACCCGGCUGGGGGACAAUGUCUGACGGGGAGUUUGACUGGGGCGGUCGCCUCCGAAAGAGUAUCGGAGGCGCUCAAAGGUUCCCUCAGAACGGUUGGAAACCGUUCGAAGAGUGCAAAGGCAGAAGGGAGCUUGACUGCGACACCGACGGGUGGAGCAGAUACGAAAGUAGGACUUAGUGAUCCGGUGGUAUAAAGUGGGAUUGCCAUCGCUCAACGGAUAAAAGCUACCCUGGGAUAACAGGCUUAUCACUCCCAAGAGUUCACAUCGACGGAGUGGUUUGGCACCUCGAUGUCGGCUCAUCGCAUCCUGGAGCUGUAGCAGGUUCCAAGGGUUGGGCUGUUCGCCCAUUAAAGCGGUACGCGAGCUGGGUUCAGAACGUCGUGAGACAGUUCGGUCCCUAUCCGGCGUGGGCGUAGGAUAUUUGAGAGGAGCUGUCCUUAGUACGAGAGGACCGGGAUGGACAAACCUCUGGUGUAUCUGUUGUUUUACCAAAGGCAUGGCAGAGUAGCCAAGUUUGGCAGGGAUAAACGCUGAAGGCAUCUAAGCGUGAAGCCCCCCUCAAGAUAAGAUAUCCCAUCUUCGGAGUAAGACCCCUUGAAGACUACAAGGUUGAUAGGCUUCAGGUGUAAGUGUGGUAACGCACUCAGCUGAGAAGUACUAAUAGGUCGAGGACUUACC